Molecule: long non-coding RNA, 219 nt
Organism: Grammomys surdaster
Lineage: Eukaryota; Metazoa; Chordata; Mammalia; Rodentia; Muridae
Exons: 3
Source: RefSeq, a predicted model, not a curated record
GCAAGAGUCUGAAAAACUUGGAGCCAGACCAUGGCCGAGGACUCUCUGGGCCCUGAGAUCACCAACUUUAAGAGGUCAGAUAAAGCCAUCAAGAGACUGAGGAAUGGAGCUUGGUAAAUGUAAAGGACCAUCACUGGAGAGGAGAUCCACAGGAGGGAAUGUCCACUAUCAUGACCAGUGGAAGAAGUGGACAGAACUGGGACUGAGCCUAGAGCCCCA